GCUUGUCUCAAAGAUUAAGCCAUGCAUGUCUAAGUAUAAACUGCUUAUACUGUGAAACUGCGAAUGGCUCAUUAAAUCAGUUAUAGUUUAUUUGAUGGUACCUACUACUCGGAUAACCGUAGUAAUUCUAGAGCUAAUACGUGCGCACAACCCGACUUCUGGAAGGGUCGUAUUUAUUAGAUAAAAGGCCAGCCGGGCUUUGCCCGACCUGCGGUGACUCUGAAUAACUUUGGGCUGAUCGUAUGGCCUUGUGCCGACGACGUUUCCUUCGAAGGUGUGCCCUAUCAACUGUCGACUGUGAUAUAGACGCUCACAGUGGUUUUGACGGGUAACGGGGAAUCAGGGUUCGAUUCCGGAGAGGGAGCCUUAAAAACGGCUACCACAUCCAAGGAAGGCAGCAGG
This 402-nucleotide ribosomal RNA is filed under the name Chlamydomonas reinhardtii. Its description in RNAcentral is "partial small subunit ribosomal RNA". It matches the Rfam family "Eukaryotic small subunit ribosomal RNA", at positions 30 to 432 of the family's 1831-position model. Lineage: Eukaryota; Viridiplantae; Chlorophyta; Chlorophyceae; Chlamydomonadales; Chlamydomonadaceae. The record is from RNAcentral.